UUUAGAUGUUGUAUUUUUGUGGAUUGGAUAUUUUUUUAAAAUUAUUUACGUUAAUAGCGUAUGUUACGAUGUUACAUUGGAGGUUACUAAAACUCAGGAAUAUCUUCUUUAUUUGUUAAAGGACACAAUUAUUGUCCAAGAGAUUAAUGAAUUUAUUGAACAAAUAGAACAAAAUCCUCUUUUAUUUACACUUUUUGGAGUUCAAUUAAAUCAUGGAAUGAUAACAAUU
This is a long non-coding RNA of Leptopilina boulardi, 229 nucleotides long. RefSeq lists it as uncharacterized. The transcript has 3 exons. The record is from RefSeq and is a predicted model, not a curated record. Lineage: Eukaryota; Metazoa; Arthropoda; Insecta; Hymenoptera; Figitidae.